CAUGGAAUUUCUGGGUCAUAUGGUAGCUCUUUUUUUGACUUUUUUGAGGAAUUGUCAAACUGUUUUCCAAAGAAUAUUCACCAUUUUAUAUUUUCAUCAGCAAU
This 104-nucleotide microRNA precursor is filed under the name Marmota monax (woodchuck). Lineage: Eukaryota; Metazoa; Chordata; Mammalia; Rodentia; Sciuridae. The record is from RNAcentral.